RNAcentral lists this ribosomal RNA (463 nucleotides) under uncultured bacterium. Its description in RNAcentral is "bacterial SSU rRNA". It matches the Rfam family "Bacterial small subunit ribosomal RNA", at positions 29 to 506 of the family's 1533-position model. The record is from RNAcentral.
ACGAACGCUGGCGGCGUGCCUAACACAUGCAAGUCGAACGGAGAUAUGAUUUCGGUUAUAUCUUAGUGGCGAACGGGUGAGUAACGCGUGAGCAACCUGACCUUCAGAGGGGGAUAACAUUUGGAAACAGAUGCUAAUACCGCAUAAGACCACGACCCGACAUCGGGACGAGGUCAAAGGAGCAAUCCGCUGAGGGAGGGGCUCGCGUCCCAUUAGAUAGAUGGCGGGGUAACGGCCCACCAUGUCAGCGAUGGGUAGCCGAGCUGAGAGGCUGAUCGGCCACACUGGAACUGAGACACGGUCCAGACUCCUACGGGAGGCAGCAGUGGGGAAUAUUGGGCAAUGGGCGCAAGCCUGACCCAGCAACGCCGCGUGAGGGAAGAAGGCUUUCGGGUUGUAAACCUCUGUCCUUGGUGAAGAAAAAAAUGACGGUAGCCAAGGAGGAAGCCCCGGCUAACUACGU